CUCCGGGGUGCUGAGGCCGCUGGAGCCUCCAGCCAGGCUCGAGGGCGCAUCCCGAAGUCCCGGGGCUGCUUGGAGGUGGCUCGGUCUCCUGCGCGCAGCCACCUCGUGUCGCCUGGGCUGAGGCAGCCAGGAAAAGCAAGAGUGGGCCUGGGAGGUGAGAAAAGGGGGAACUCCUGCUAGGGCUACACUACCUGGCUUCUACUCAACCGAGUGGGUGGGCAAGAGGAAGCUUUUGGACCUGUUAACCCUCGCGCAGCCGCCCCGACAGACACCCCUUGAUCUCCAGUGAUCCUGGAGACCUGGCUUGGAGGCAAAGUGGAGUGAAGGGUUUGGAGACUUCUGAGAAGGGCCACCCAAUCUCGCGGAAAGUGCUGCAGCUACUGAAGUGGCAGAGACCUUUGUGGGUGGCGUAGGGUGGGGAGGCGGCCCGGGAGGAGUUUAAUCUACCUGGAGGCUUCACCUGGGUUUGCGCAGUUUGGCGCCUGGAACCCCUUUACCAGGCCCCUGUGCUCCGAUCCGAACCCGCCCCACAAAUGCCAGUAGGCAAACUCUGGUUCCUUUGACCUAGGUGAUCAGAAAGAAGCAGGCUGGGGAAUAAACUUUCCUUCUAAAUCACCCCCACCACACACACACACACCCCCGGUUGUUAAUACGGAGGUUUUAGUUCUGGAGGAAGAAUUAGUUGCAGGUGUGUCCAGAAAGACGGUGCCUCUGCCCCCAUGUAUACAAAUACAUUAACCUUUCCCCUGGCUAGACGAAGACCGUGUGAAGUCUUUUUAAAACGAUGUCCACGUUACCAAGAGCUGUGGCUUGGUGUUUAUUGCGUCCCUGAAAAUCGGCAAGUGGACAGAUCUCUACAGUUGCACAGAAAAUGUGCUUUUGCCCGUUUGGGUAUUUAACAGGGUAGCCGGUUUCCCGGUGGAUGGGUUUUGAUGAGGAGAUAGGGCAGCUUCCCAUUUUGGCAGUGGAGGAAUGUUCACCAUAUUUGGAUUUGCUUCACUUCUUGGACACAGCUUCGCAAUGCUCAUGUGAAAGUUGGUGAUGGUUCAGAGGGAAAAUUGCAGACCUCACCCACAGCCUGGACAGCAUAGUUUCUUGCAAUGAAGAAUCAACACUGGGUUAUUUCCAAAGAUUAAAUCUUGAAAGCCCACUGGGAGGCUGCAGCAGGAGGGCAGAGAUGUCCACACACUUGCACAUGAAAACUAGUCUUCCACUAGGAAAUCUUCCUCUUCAGCUAAGGCCCUGGAAGUAGUGAAGAGAAAGGGCCCCUUUCUGACCAAGCUCAUAGGGAUGUAUCAAACAGGGUCUAUUUCUGCAAGAAACAGAGCUUCACAGGGCAGCCAGAUCAUCAUUUGUCGCUCAUGUCACCCUGCUGGGUCUGUCACCUCUGUGUGGGUGAGGCCCAGCCCAGAGCUCCUGAUGUGGAAGCGGAAAUGCUGCCCUGCUUCACUCACGAAGCGGUGUGUACUGUGUGUUGCCGUGGCCACCCCAAGGAUGUGGCUCCUUCCUCUAAUCUGUCCUGAGUCACCUUGUAUGGGCCAAGGCCAGUAUUGACUGUCCCACCCUGUUCCCCACUCCUGUCCAGAGUUAUUGUCCCCACUUUGGUUGAAUUAAAAAUUCCCGUGAACUAAUUAUA
Long non-coding RNA from Fukomys damarensis (Damara mole-rat), 1636 nucleotides. RefSeq lists it as uncharacterized. The transcript has 2 exons. NCBI's taxonomy places the organism in Eukaryota, Metazoa, Chordata, Mammalia, Rodentia, Bathyergidae. The record is from RefSeq and is a predicted model, not a curated record.